AUACUUACUUGAACGGGAUCUAUGGGCGAUUGAUAAGGUCCAUGGUCUAGGUUGGUGACCUCCAUUGCACUGAGGAGGGGUGCCUGCCUAAGGUCUACUCAAGUAGUAGAGCCUACAUUAUAAUUUGUGGUAGUGGGGCCUACGUCCGCGCGGCCCCUGC
Cornus florida is the source of this 160-nucleotide small nuclear RNA. RefSeq annotates it as U1 spliceosomal RNA. The transcript has a single exon. The record is from RefSeq and is a predicted model, not a curated record. NCBI's taxonomy places the organism in Eukaryota, Viridiplantae, Streptophyta, Magnoliopsida, Cornales, Cornaceae.